Helicoverpa armigera (cotton bollworm) is the source of this 577-nucleotide long non-coding RNA. RefSeq lists it as uncharacterized. The record is from RefSeq and is a predicted model, not a curated record. The transcript is spliced from 2 exons. NCBI's taxonomy places the organism in Eukaryota, Metazoa, Arthropoda, Insecta, Lepidoptera, Noctuidae.
ACCCUGAAGUUACUGCAUUUUAGUCAUCGUUAUUAUCAUCAUAUUACAUGCAUCAUACUGCAUUUCGGGUAUAUAAACAGCCGUCGACUAACUGAACUUCAGUAUUCAAAGCUAAUUUAAGGCAUAAAGUACGUAUCUUUCUUUCUUUCUUUGACAUCAUGAUGUGGUUAAGGCUAUUCUUCGUGUUUCUAUUGUUUGCUGUGAGUCUGACGUGGGCUGGUAGGGUAAUAACGCUCGAGUGUCCUGAUGGAAAACCACCCUCUAGGAGCGGCCAUUGUCCAACAACACCUUUGAUCGAUGAAUAUUUAGAUGAAUAUUCUGACAACAGCAGUAAAGCAACAGAAUAAGUUGUGAAAGCGUCAUACAUGACAGAUAUAACAGGAUUGAACUUUGUGUUACAUCACUUUAAAGUACAAAUUGAUGAGACGUCACAAACUGCCACUCUCAAUCUUUGUUGCGUUAUAUUUUAGUAAAUAUUUAAUGUUCUGUUAAAGUAAAAAAUCUGUUAUGUGGACUAGUUAGAAUUACCAUUUUUAACCCUGCCUAUUUGUAAAUAAAUUGUCAUGUUGUGGUGCAA